AGAAGGCAAGCCGGGCAGGCAAACCAGGCACGCGGGGCAGCGCCAGCAAAGGCAAGGAGAGAAACAGUUCAGCGCUGCAGGAACAUCAGGCGCAGGACAGAGUGGAGGGAGCUGAGGCUGGAGCGGCGGGCCUAGCAACGUGGCCCCAGCAACGAGGCCGUGCAAUUCACGCUGACCCGCCAUGGUGGUGUGGACUCUAAUGUAUUCAUUAGAAAUCCAUAAUUGUUGCUGUCGAAGUCUCCUAAGAAAGCAAACAUUUGCCAGAUGCCAGAGUCUCCUCUGCUUCAACCCUAAUCCUGAUCAGCUCUUCCCUGAAAUCAUCCCAUCCCAGGCCAAAGUUUGGCACUUAGCACUCUUUCUUGAUGAUGAGGAUCUUCAACAGUACCAGGAAGACGGAGACUUCAACUACAAACAAACACAAGCCCAGACAAGUCCAGACAAAAUGGUGACAUGAAUGGAGUUUGCUGUCAGUUUCCCAAACUCCUGACCUAUUUAUGCCACCCCCUCAUAUCUAGAACUUCACGCUGUCCCCACUGCCCCGCACCCUGCCUGGUCCUGCCUCAUUCAAGAGCCUGUCCUCCUGAUUACGCCCAACUUUCUGUCUCUAAAUCAAAACCUGGUCUAUGUCCCAUUUCCUGAUGACCCAGCUAUUUACAUUAUAAAGUUAAUAAUAAAUACAUUUAACUCA
Long non-coding RNA from Orcinus orca (killer whale), 688 nucleotides. RefSeq lists it as uncharacterized. The record is from RefSeq and is a predicted model, not a curated record. The transcript is spliced from 3 exons. Lineage: Eukaryota; Metazoa; Chordata; Mammalia; Artiodactyla; Delphinidae.